Molecule: long non-coding RNA, 374 nt
Organism: Acanthopagrus latus (yellowfin seabream)
Lineage: Eukaryota; Metazoa; Chordata; Actinopteri; Spariformes; Sparidae
Exons: 3
Source: RefSeq, a predicted model, not a curated record
GGAGGCGGAUCUGCCACGGCACCGCAGGCGACUGGACAUGGUGUCGGCCGAGCAGCUCAUCAGGAGCACCGCGCUGGGCUCCCCCACCUGGCAAGAGGGCGAGGAAAGUCAGCAACAGAGGCUACAUCGUCCCCUGCUACUUGCUUUUCCUGAGCACUUGUCUGCCGUCUGGCCUCGACUAACAGUUGCUGUCAUCGUCGAUUAAUCUGUCUGUGGGUUCCUCGAUGGAUCGAUCAGUUUCUUGUUUGCAGAUUGACAGUCUGGCGCUCUGACCUUGGCCUCAUACUCCUCCACCCGUCUCAGGUCUCUGGGGAAGCCGCUGACCACCACACCUUUCCCCUGCCGCACCGACGACGCCACCGCCUCACACAGCA